RNAcentral lists this ribosomal RNA (253 nucleotides) under uncultured bacterium. Its description in RNAcentral is "partial 16S ribosomal RNA". It matches the Rfam family "Bacterial small subunit ribosomal RNA", at positions 524 to 776 of the family's 1533-position model. The record is from RNAcentral.
UACGAAGGGGGCUAGCGUUGCUCGGAAUUACUGGGCGUAAAGCGCACGUAGGCGGCUUUUUAAGUCGGAGGUGAAAUCCUGGAGCUCAACUCCAGAACUGCCUUCGAUACUGGAGAGCUUGAGUCCGGGAGAGGUGAGUGGAACUGCGAGUGUAGAGGUGAAAUUCGUAGAUAUUCGCAAGAACACCAGUGGCGAAGGCGGCUCACUGGCCCGGUACUGACGCUGAGGUGCGAAAGCGUGGGGAGCAAACAGG